AAUCUGCAUUAGGGGACAAAAUUGAGUGAAUCCAGGUCUAUCACACUACUGUAGAUAUGAUCUAGAAUGAACUUGCUGCUCAGAGAACUGAGUUUCUGGAUGAGCAGCUUUUUAGAGACCAGAGGCUGUGCAUAAGGUAAUUGAAAGGGACAAGAACCAUGGUAUCAGUGUAUCAUCCUUGGGGGAAAGUAAUGCUUUUUACAGAGCCUAUUUCUACUGGAAAACUACAAAGGAUAUAAAAUACAAAGGAUUAUUGAACUGAAUGGAGACCAUCAUGCAAGUCCAGCAGGACUUUCAGAGGAUGAAGUUGAGGAUGCGGACUGACUGACCUUAGAAGAUGUAAGGAGAACCUGAGACCUGGUGGACUAGUGUGGGGUGUCAAACUACCGGCCCGCAGGCCAGAUGCAUCACCAGGAAACUGCGCCCACCCCAUUGCUGGCAAUGGAGAAAAAGCUCUGAUAUGUCGUGUGACAUCACGUGACGUCGCGAGUUUGACAUGUCUGCUUUAUUACAUCUGUGAAUGGUGCAGGAUAUAAAAAAGCAGCCUUUGUGUAAAUCUCAUAUAUAUUUGGGCCCAAGCUGCUGUUUGUACAACAGAUGGAAUGAGUCAUAAUAUUAUCACACUAAAUAUAAUAUGCUAUGCUAUAUUGUACCUACAAUAAGGAAACACAACAGUCAAUAUCUGAUUUCAAUCAUUUUUAAUACUUUAGCACUCAAGAACUCAGAUAUUGGUGUCAAUAUAAAUUCUUUUGCAAUAAGCUCAGCCUUUUAAAAGAUAUCUUUUUAUGAUUAAAAGGUUAAAUUAUGUAUAAAAACAAUCCUUUUGUGAUUCUUAUUCCACCCAGUUUCAGACCCAUUAAAAGCUAAUUAAACGGAUGUGUGUACCACAUGCUACACUGAGGAAGGAUGCAGCCACAUCAUCAGCUCUUAUCCUUUUGCUUAGUAUGGAAAAUAGCAUUAGUGGUUUUAAGUGGUUUAGUUAACAUGGUGGGAGACAGCAUGUUAAUAUUAACAGCUACCUGAAUCCCAUGUAAAUAUUUUU
Crotalus tigris (Tiger rattlesnake) is the source of this 1042-nucleotide long non-coding RNA. RefSeq lists it as uncharacterized. The record is from RefSeq and is a predicted model, not a curated record. The transcript has 5 exons. NCBI's taxonomy places the organism in Eukaryota, Metazoa, Chordata, Lepidosauria, Squamata, Viperidae.